This 1283-nucleotide long non-coding RNA is filed under the name Marmota monax (woodchuck). Lineage: Eukaryota; Metazoa; Chordata; Mammalia; Rodentia; Sciuridae. The record is from RNAcentral.
GUUCUUUUCUUUUUCUUUUUUUCUUAAAGAGAUGGGAAGGUCAUUUUGGUAGCAUGUCCAAGGCCCCUGGACCAGUUAGUUGCAGUCUGGACACAGGAACUGACUUCUGAUGUCUGCAGGCUGGUAGAGGUUCAUCCUUGCAUUUUAAACAGCGUUUCCGUGCCUCAGUCUUCUGCAGGGUCAACCUUUGGUCUCUAACCUCAUCCCAACUAGACCAGUGAUUCAGCCGCAGGCGUCGGAUUAUACAGGCAGGUUACAGGGUGCCAGGAGACCUCCAGACUCCCAAAUAGACGGGCGCAGUGUGCUGCAGGACUGAACUCUGUCCUUACUGCAGACGAAACUAGGGACGCCCUGAGCAUCACACAUGCUAGAUGCCGAGGGUUUUAGAUGAAAUUUCUCAUCCCACCCUUAUAAUUCCACUAUGAAGACAAGAACAGGAGGCCCAAAGGGAUCCUUGGCUUCCCUGAGACCGGGGGGUGGAGUUUGGCGUUGAGUUGAGGACUCCACGCUCACCACGUCUAGACACGUCCCACCUUACGGACUGUUCUGCUGUCUCCCGGGGGUUCAAAAAGAGGACUUGACCAAUGGGUCCCUGAGAGUACUCUGGUUGGGGUUCUCCAACAGGCAGAUGACUGGAUUGACAUCCAAGGGUCAGUCAGGCCUGUCGGGGCCCAGGACAGGUGACCAAGUACGUGACAGAGUUUUACAAAUGUGUAACACCAUGUCACGCACCUUUCCAGGGAGGGGCCAAACAGACAGUUGAUCUGAGCACGGGACGGGGUGAGGAGUUUGCUGGGGCCCCUGAAGCUGCUGUGUCAUCACAGAGCGUCAGCAGACCUCGCUGUUCAAAGUGUUCUCUGCAACUAGCAGCAUCCACAGGCGGGAGGGAGCUUGCAGGGAAUGCAGGAUCUCCAGGGGCCCCGGGCCUGCUGCACCAGAAUCUGCAUUUAGCAAGGUGCCCGGGUGGCUGCAGUGACACUAAUGAUGGAGAAGCUCGGCAGCCUCUGGCUUCACUCCAAGCUGCUGUUGCUGGGCCUCCCCGGAGCCCUCUUGCCUCGGUGACUAGCCUGGGGCUGUGUCUGUCCGAGAGCCACGCAUUGCAGAUGAAGAAUCUGCUGGCCCACCUCCAUCUUACCCUUCUCUCACCUCGUGUACAUUUUUAACGCAGGAAUCGAUGUGAGAAUUCUUGCGACAUUAAUUUUCUGCCACAAAGUAUUUUGUGGAGCAAAUUCCAUUAAGCCAUUUUAAUCCAGGGUUUAAUUUUCUAUUCAGCUCAUCUAAGC